UACAGAGGGGGCAAGCGUUGUUCGGAAUUACUGGGCGUAAAGGGCGCGUAGGCGGCCUUCUAAGUCAGACGUGAAAUCCCCCGGCUUAACCUGGGAACUGCAUUUGUGACUGCAUGGCUAGAGUACGGUAGAGGGGGAUGGAAUUCCGCGUGUAGCAGUGAAAUGCGUAGAUAUGCGGAGGAACACCGAUGGCGAAGGCAAUCCCCGUGGACCUGUACUGACGCUCAUGCACGAAAGCGUGGGGAGCAAACAGG
RNAcentral lists this ribosomal RNA (254 nucleotides) under uncultured bacterium. RNAcentral describes it as "partial 16S ribosomal RNA". It matches the Rfam family "Bacterial small subunit ribosomal RNA", at positions 524 to 776 of the family's 1533-position model. The record is from RNAcentral.